Molecule: transfer RNA, 76 nt
Filed under: Pseudomonas aeruginosa
Lineage: Bacteria; Pseudomonadati; Pseudomonadota; Gammaproteobacteria; Pseudomonadales; Pseudomonadaceae
Description: tRNA-Lys
Rfam family: tRNA
About the family: Transfer RNA (tRNA) molecules are approximately 80 nucleotides in length. Their secondary structure includes four short double-helical elements and three loops (D, anti-codon, and T loops).
Source: RNAcentral
GUGCCCGUAGCUCAGUUGGUAGAGCACCUGACUUUUACUCAGGGUGUCCGGGAUUCGAAUUCCCGCGGGCGCACCA